This 253-nucleotide ribosomal RNA is filed under the name uncultured bacterium. RNAcentral describes it as "partial 16S ribosomal RNA". It matches the Rfam family "Bacterial small subunit ribosomal RNA", at positions 524 to 776 of the family's 1533-position model. The record is from RNAcentral.
UACGAAGGGGGCUAGCGUUGCUCGGAAUUACUGGGCGUAAAGCGCACGUAGGCGGCUUCUUAAGUCGGUGGUGAAAUCCUGGAGCUCAACUCCAGAACUGCCUUCGAUACUGGGAAGCUCGAGUCCGGGAGAGGUGAGUGGAACCGCGAGUGUAGAGGUGAAAUUCGUAGAUAUUCGCAAGAACACCAGUGGCGAAGGCGGCUCACUGGCCCGGUACUGACGCUGAGGUACGAAAGCGUGGGGAGCAAACAGG